GACGAACGCUGGCGGCGUGCCUAAUACAUGCAAGUCGAGCGAUGAAGCGUGGUGCUUGCACCAAUUUGAAGAGCAGCGAACGGGUGAGUAACGCGUGGGGAAUCUGCCUUUGAGCGUGGGACAACAUUGGGAAACGAAUGCUAAUACCGCAUAACAACUUUAAACAUAAGUUUUAAGUUUGAAAGAUGCAAUUGCAUCACUCAAAGAAGAUCCCGCGUUGUAUUAGCUAGUUGGUGAGGGAAAGGCCCACCAAGGCAAUGAUACGUAGCCGCCCUGAGAGGGGGUCCGCCCCCACUGGACCUGGACACCGCCCCAGACCCCUCCGGAGGCAGCCGUAAGGGAACUUCGGCAAAGGGGGGAAGUCUGGACGGGCCACGCCGGCUGGGUGGAGGAAGGUCUCCGGACGUUAAACUCUUGUGAUUGGGGAGAACGAUGGUGGGAGUGGAAUACGCAUGAAGUGACGGUACCUACUCAGAAAGCCACGGCUAACUACGUG
RNAcentral lists this ribosomal RNA (496 nucleotides) under uncultured bacterium. Its description in RNAcentral is "partial 16S ribosomal RNA". It matches the Rfam family "Bacterial small subunit ribosomal RNA", at positions 28 to 507 of the family's 1533-position model. The record is from RNAcentral.